AGUGAACGCUGGCGGUAGGCCUAACACAUGCAAGUCGAACGGCAGCACAGUAAGAGCUUGCUCUUACGGGUGGCGAGUGGCGGACGGGUGAGGAAUACAUCGGAAUCUACUUUUUCGUGGGGGAUAACGUAGGGAAACUUACGCUAAUACCGCAUACGACCUACGGGUGAAAGCAGGGGAUCUUCGGACCUUGCGCGAUUGAAUGAGCCGAUGUCGGAUUAGCUAGUUGGCGGGGUAAAGGCCCACCAAGGCGACGAUCCGUAGCUGGUCUGAGAGGAGGAUCAGCCACACUGGAACGGAGACACGGUCCAGACUCCUACGAGAGGCAGCAGUGGGGAAUAUUGGACAAUGGGCGCAAGCCUGAUCCAGCCAUACCGCGUGGGUGAAGAAGGCCUUCGGGUUGUAAAGCCCUUUUGUUGGGAAAGAAAAGCAGCAGGUUAAUACCCCGCUGUUCUGACGGUACCCAAAGAAUAAGCACCGGCUAACUUCGUG
RNAcentral lists this ribosomal RNA (492 nucleotides) under uncultured bacterium. RNAcentral describes it as "partial 16S ribosomal RNA". It matches the Rfam family "Bacterial small subunit ribosomal RNA", at positions 29 to 507 of the family's 1533-position model. The record is from RNAcentral.